GCCACCCUAGCUCAAUUGGUAGAGCAAUGGUAUCGUAAACCAUAGGUUGUCGGUUCAAGUCCGACGGGUGGCUCCA
RNAcentral lists this transfer RNA (76 nucleotides) under bacterium. RNAcentral describes it as "tRNA-Thr". It matches the Rfam family "tRNA". From Rfam's summary of the family: Transfer RNA (tRNA) molecules are approximately 80 nucleotides in length. The record is from RNAcentral.